Molecule: ribosomal RNA, 948 nt
Filed under: Triticum aestivum (bread wheat)
Lineage: Eukaryota; Viridiplantae; Streptophyta; Magnoliopsida; Poales; Poaceae
Description: partial small subunit ribosomal RNA
Source: RNAcentral
AUGUCGCCGCUCUAUUACCGAAGCCAGCACGACCUUGUCGAUGAUAGCAUGAAAGUCUUUUGUGCAUGUGUCCUUAAAGACCAGCGCCCUGGAGUCGUGCUUGUCUCCGUUGAAUCGGGGUUAAUACGCCAGCGCCGCCGCGAAAGUCAGAUCGGAGUCUCGCACAAGGGAGAACAGACGGAGCCGGCGAUCCGAGAGGAUGAUGACGCGAGGGCAGCGGCGGCGCUUGGGCCUUGCCGAUCCACCGGCUCCUUGCGCCGGAUCUGGCCACCCGAGGAAGCGACCGCGUCAGGGUCUGCGCCGCUGUACCGCCGCGCGCCUCCCCGGGCCGUGUGCAAGCCCUGGCGCGAGCUCAGCGAGGACCCGCGGGCGCACGGCGUCCUGGAUAGCCGGUUCCGCCCGCACGGCUGGUUCCCGCUGCCCAACCGAGGGGAGCCCCCGUCGCGCCGGCGCCUCGUCCACGCAACCGCCAGGGCCCGCGUCGUCAGAGUCCACCACCAGAUAUUCUCCACCAGCCGCCUCCUCAGCGUGGCCUCCGGCCUCCUCGUCAUGCGCGACGAGGCAACCUGCACCGUCCGCCUCCUUCACCCGUUCACCGGCGCGCUCGCCGAGUUCCCCGACAUCACCGACGUGCGGCCCCACGAUGGCGCGGAGCCGAGCGCCCGUCUCGGCAUGGACGCCUUCAAGGCCCGCUUCCCUGGCCUCGGCGUUGACCCGGACGCCUACCUCGCCACGGACGACUACAAGUCCGGCUACCCCGCCGAGGGCACGGUCAUGGACUUCGCCAGCAUCGACGACUCCACCUCCCCGCCGACCCUCCAGCUCUGCGUGAAUAAUGGGAAGUGGCUCGUCAUCUCCGCCAAGCCUGGCGAUGAGCACUGGGUGUCCCUGAGCCGGCGGAGGGGCAGCGUACGGGCCAUGUUACACAGCGCUUUACUUAGGCUGUAG